CCUACGGGAUGCAGCAGUGAGGAAUAUUUGUCAAUGGACGAGCGUCUGAACCAGCCAAGUAGCGUGAAGGAUGACUGCCCUAUGGGUUGUAAACUUCUUUUAUAUGGGAAUAAAACGUUCCACGUGUGGGAUUUUGUAUGUACCAUAUGAAUAAGGAUCGGCUAACUCCGUGCCAGCAGCCGCGGUAAUACGGAGGAUCCGAGCGUUAUCCGGAUUUAUUGGGUUUAAAGGGAGCGUAGGUGGAUUGUUAAGUCAAUUGUGAAAGUUUGCGGCUCAACCGUAAAAUUGCAGUUGAAACUGGCAGUCUUGAGUACAGUAGAGGUGGGCGGAAUUCGUGGUGUAGCGGUGAAAUGCUUAGAUAUCACGAAGAACUCCGAUUGCGAAGGCAGUUCACUGGACUGCAACUGACACUGAGGCUCGAAAGUGUGGGUAUCAAACAGGAUUAGAUACCCCUGUAGUC
Molecule: ribosomal RNA, 460 nt
Filed under: uncultured bacterium
Lineage: Bacteria
Description: partial 16S ribosomal RNA
Rfam family: Bacterial small subunit ribosomal RNA
Source: RNAcentral